UUCCCCUUCGGGGGACAAAGUGACAGGUGGUGCAUGGUUGUCGUCAGCUCGUGUCGUGAGAUGUUGGGUUAAGUCCCGCAACGAGCGCAACCCUUAAGCUUAGUUGCCAUCAUUAAGUUGGGCACUCUAAGUUGACUGCCGGUGACAAACCGGAGGAAGGUGGGGAUGACGUCAAAUCAUCAUGCCCCUUAUGAUUUGGGCUACACACGUGCUACAAUGGACAAUACAAAGGGCGGCGAAACCGUGAGGUCAAGCAAAUCCCAUAAAGUUGUUCUCAGUUCGGAUUGUAGUCUGCAACUCGACUACAUGAAGCUGGAAUCGCUAGUAAUCGUAGAUCAGCAUGCUACGGUGAAUACGUUCCCGGGUCUUGUACACACCGCCCGUCACACCACGAGAGUUUGUAACACCCGAAGCCGGUGGAGUAACCUUUUAGGAGCUAGCCGUCGAAGGUGGGACAAAUGAUUGGGGUGAAGUCGUAACAAGGUAGCCGUAUCGGAAGGUGCGGCUGGAUCACCUCCUUU
RNAcentral lists this ribosomal RNA (521 nucleotides) under Staphylococcus aureus. Its description in RNAcentral is "bacterial SSU rRNA". It matches the Rfam family "Bacterial small subunit ribosomal RNA", at positions 1013 to 1533 of the family's 1533-position model. Lineage: Bacteria; Bacillati; Bacillota; Bacilli; Caryophanales; Staphylococcaceae. The record is from RNAcentral.